Molecule: long non-coding RNA, 456 nt
Filed under: Pan troglodytes (chimpanzee)
Lineage: Eukaryota; Metazoa; Chordata; Mammalia; Primates; Hominidae
Description: lincRNA
Source: RNAcentral
GCACUACAAGUGACAUGCCAACGGGCAGGUAAGAUCCUCUCAAAUGAAGGGACUGUGAAUAUUUGACUGAUAAUACAAAUAUUUACUGGAUAUUUUACAGUGAUAUUUACAAAUAUCACUGGCUAACUUUUCCCAGCUUGAUAUCCUGAAAGAGGCACAGUUUCAGUAGUAAAUGGUAAAUUUACCUUGAUUGCACUGAAGGCUAUUUCUUUAAAACUAUUUUCUUUCCUUUUGACUAUUCCAUGUAUCCUUUCAGAAGUAAACAUUCUUUUUACCCCUUUAAAAAGUCUACUUAUAACAUCUACUUAAUUUGGAAUUUAUCUAACAUUGCCAGUUUGAUAUAGAUACAGAAAUUUAAUGAGAAAAUGCAGUUCUAUAUUUAGAAUAUGGAUUCUUCAAGAUGUUUCUGACACGCAUUUGUUUUCAUUGAAACAUUAAAAAAUUAUUUAGCUAACA